Molecule: long non-coding RNA, 4560 nt
Organism: Peromyscus eremicus (cactus mouse)
Lineage: Eukaryota; Metazoa; Chordata; Mammalia; Rodentia; Cricetidae
Exons: 2
Source: RefSeq, a predicted model, not a curated record
UACAAAGUGAGUGUGCACAGUACUUUUUCAACAAAGCUGGACUCCAUGAUCAUUAAAGAUGAGUAAGUGAACAUAUAAAUAUACAGAAACACACACACAAGAGUUUACAUAUCCACACACACUUGCACAUAUAAGCACCCAACUCACAAACACACACAUAAGCACUUACCCCCAUACAUACAGAAAACAUGGGCACGCAUACAUACAUACUUACCCACACAUGGUCACAUACACACAUACAAAGGAAUGGUAUUGUACAAGCAAUAGACAAUAUUCACAUACAGACAAUCACAGGGAGUUACACACACACACACACACACACACACACACACACACACACACACACACACCCUGAACCAGAAUGGCCAGUGAGAAGAACGCUGACUUGCAGCACAUUUUCUGCUGCAGGGGGAAGUAGUGUGUCCUCUAUGCUGUCUGUCAGACUGAGCCAGGCUCUGCUACCCCAGCCUGCACUUACAUUUACUUUCAUGAACUUAAUCUAUCCCAACACUCCCUGAUUCCACAGGUUCCAAGUUGAUCUAUCACAUUUCUUCACUAAACCUACCCUAGCUCCUCCAAGAAGACCUUGAUAACUCAAGUGAAAGAAAGUGACCCAUGGUCAACACCAGGAAAUUUUCAACAGAUGACAGUGCAUAUGAUAUGAAUUCAGCCCAAUGUCAGUCAGGAGGCCAGUGACAUCACCUGCAGUGCUUUUCAGGAAUGCAGCACUCUGCACAACUAUGAGAGGGAAUCUGUUCUGAGACACAGCCAUGCACAGGAUAUAGUCAGCAACACAAUGUCAGCAAGGAGAUGUUUAUUUUUAAAAUAGUUGUUUUGUUUGUUUUUUGUAACUUAUUAGAAAAUACAUUAAUAUAAGCACAAUAAAAGUAAAUAAACAAAAGAGAAAGCUACUCCAUCCUUCCGCUUUCUGAGCAAUUGAAACUUGUAACAAUUGGAUGAGACAAAACAAGACAGAAGGUCUACCUUGGAGAACAGGAGAUCCAAAGAGUGCUGGACAGCCAGAUUAGCCCAAACAGAAAAUGUCAGGUUCAGUGAAAACCUGGGCUCUAAGGGAAUAAGGGAGUGGGCCACAGAUGAUAACAUGAGAUUUUAUUAUGUAGCCUCUGAACACAUCCACCAAUGUACACAUUUACACAGGCCUGCAUAGAUCAUACACAGACCACAGAAAUCAGAAGUGAGAAAAAAACAUGAAGAGGACAUCAUGCUGAAUAAACAGUCGAAUUUAGAAUAUGCACAUCAGGUAUUUCAACUGAGACCCACAACACUACUAUCCAUCCCUUGGGACUAAAAAUUCCUAGAAGAGAACACAGCUUAGUCAGAUUAUGUUGAGGUGAUUGAACAAAAUAUUCUCUUGAAGCUUCAAAUCUGUCACUCCAACCCUCAGCCUGUCAAAGUCCUCCCACAUGUAUGGUCAUCCAGUCAGCUCCAGACUGGAAGAUCCAGGAUGGGAGAACUGUCCAGCACCAUGCCCAGAAAAAGGGCUAACAAGGUGCUACUCAGGCUUCUGUCACUUUGAACCAAGAGCUUGGCAAAAGGAAGAGAGCACACUGGGAGGCAGGAAGAAAGAAGACCACAUUCCACCCAAAACGUUGACAAUGAGAACCACUCACUUGGCACUGGCACUGGGCUCUAGUCCUUGAAGGCUGCUUCCUCCCUGUGAUCUCACAUGACCCCUGCAAAGCAAAUGAGCCACAGGCCACUGACAUUAUCAAUAAAAGCUUUGUGCUGUUCCCUAAGUAACUCCCUACAUAGCAGCCCUCUGAUCAUAAUGACAUGUAGGUGUGUGGUAUGUGACUGACCCAUCUCUAUCAAUGUACUGCAGCUUCUAGCAGAGCAGGAGGGUUUGCUUGUCAAUUAUUCAGUUUUUUGCAAGAUGCUAACUCUCCAGAAAGACUUGGGAAUGAUCACAGAAAACAACACUUGGAUGGUAUGUAAGUGGGAGUCUGGAUGGAUGGUUAUAUGGGUGUCUCUAUUUUUAUGGUUGGACAGGUAUUCAGCCUGUCCCCAAUGCCUCGGGCUACCAGUUGCUGAUCAGCAGAAGGCUCACAGAUCAUCUCAUGGGCCUCCUUCAAGAGACUCUUCAGAUCCUCACAGGAAUCUUGCAGUUCAAUCUGUUCCUUCCAUAGCAGUCUGUUCUUGAGUCUCAACACAUAUACAUUCUUCUUCAGCUGAGUCCAAUCUCGGAGGACCUGGUCAUGGAGGUAACUGAACAAUCACCAAAACAUUGUUAAUCUUUAAAAAUUAUCCUUCUGGGCUGGAGAGAUGGCUCAGAGGUUAAGAGCACCAACUGUUCUUCCAGAGGUCCUGAGUUCAAUUCCCAGAAACCACAUGGUGGCUCACAACCAUCUGGUGCCCUCUUCUGGCCUACAGGCAUGCAUGCAGACAGAACAUUGUAUACAUAAUAAAUAAAUCUUUAAAUAAAAAAAAAGCAAGAUGAAGCUUUGUCUCUUUAAAAAAAAAAUAUCCUUCGCCCAAUAAUAGAACAUUUAUAGUUACAUUAUUAAGUUCCACAGAAAUGGGUGAUGUAUUGUAUUCACAUUUUCUAAUUAAUUUAGCAUAACUGACCUUUUAUAUUACCUACUUAUCCACAAAACUUUAAAAACUUCCAUUCAUUUAAGUCUUUAGCAUCUUUCAGAACAUCAGCUUUGAAGGUCUUGCAUGUAUUUAGGAUUGCUCUUGGGUACUCCAUAGCACUUUUUAUUAAUAGCAUGCUUUUAAAGUGCGCUUAUAUAAAAUGUCUUGUCAUACAUUUUUAAGCCUUUUGUGAGUGGAAUUGUUUCCCUGAUUUCUUUGUCAGUAUGUUUGUGAUUGGUGUACAGGAAGGCCACUGACUUUUGUGUGUUUAUUUUACAAUCUUUCACUUUUAUGAAUCUAUUUGUCAGGCUUAAGGGACUUCUGAUAAAUUUUUAGUUUUAUUUGUUUAGAAUCAUAUCAUCUGCAAAUAAGGACAUUUUGACAUCCCCUUUCCAUUUGUAUCCCCUUUAUCUCCUUCAGUUGUCUUAUUGCUCUUGCUAAGAGUUCAAGUACUAUAUUGAAUAGGAGUGGAAGGAGUGAAUAUCCUUUUCUUCUUCCUGCUUUUCUGGAACUGCUUUGAGUUUUUCCUCUAUUCAGCAUGAUGCUGCUGUGGGCUUGUUGUACAAUGACUUUAUUAGGUUGAAAUAUAUCCUCUAUAUUCCUAUCCCUAGAUUCUCCAGAACAUCUCUCAUUGAUGAAAGCUGGAUUUUUACAAAGGCUUUUUUUGCUCAUAUACACACAUGUUCAUGUUGGGUUUUCCUUUAUUCAUUUCAUGUGGUGGAAUAAAUAUGUUGAUUUGUGUAUGUUGAAUUAUCCUUGCAUGUUUGAGGUGAAGACAACUUGACCAUGGUGGAUGAUUUUUUUUAUGUGACCCUGAACUUGAUUUUCAAGUAUUUUAUUGAGAAUUUGUGUGUAUAUGUUCAUCAGGGUAAUAGGCCUAUAAUUCUAUCUAUCUAUCCAUCUAUCUACUAUCUAUCUAUCUAUCUACCUACAUACCUAUCUGUCUCCCUCUCUCGAAACCAGGAUAUCCCUGGCUUAAAAAAAAGAAUUUGGAUGAGCUCUUUCUUUUUCUAUUUUAUGGAAUAGUCUGAGGAGUGUUAGUUGUUCUUUAAAUGUCUGUUCAAAUUUGACACUGAAUUUGUCCUGUUCUGGCCUUCUUUUAGUUGGGAAAUUUUUUAUUACUGCUUCUACACCAUUAGACUAUUUAAACUUUUCAUGUUAUCUUGACAUAAUUUUGGUGGAUCACAGACAUCUGAAAAUUCACCAGUUCUUUAAAAAGAUUUUCCAGUUUGGUGGAAUAUAAACUUUUAAAGGAUUAAAUUCCCUCCAUGUCUCCUCUUUCCUCCUUUGUUUUAUUAUUUUCAUCCUCAUCUUCCUUUUGGUUAAUUCGGGUAAAAAUGUGCUCAUCUCGUUAAUGUUUUCAAAGAACCCACUCUUUGUUUCACUGUAUCUUUAUGUUUUUGUUUUUAUUUCACUGAUUUCAGUCAUAUUUAAAGGGACAUCUGUAUCACACCCUUUCCACAAGGCUCAAAGACCACCAUGGAAGAUGAGGCAGGAAGACUAUAGGAGCCAGAGGUCAGGGAGGAUUAGAGCAAACAGUGUCUUCUGGCCAUGACAGGACCACUGCACUCAUGACUCAGAGCUGCUGUGGUCAUUGUCCAAUAUCAAGCUGGUCAACAUUGAAGCAUGGAGUGGGAAGGGUCCUUGAGCCCCUACUCCUAACUGAUGAGCUUUGGACCAUUAAUGGCUUCUGACAAAUGGAGGGUCAGUUUUCUUUAAGAGUCUGCCCCUGGGGUUAUUAAAAAUUAAUGUAAUGAAGAAGAUAUAAAUUGGUCAUCAUAGAUGUAGGGGCAGACUUGGGAUGACAAAAUGGGAGGAAUUGGGUGGUGAAUAUUUUCAAAAUGUAUUUUAUGCAUUUCUCAAAGAACAAGUAAAGUAUAUUGAAGUAUAUUCAUUAAAUUAUUAUUGUAAAAAUUAUUAUUAUAUAAGGAUAUUUUAUUAAAUAACAUUAAUGAAUUCUGUUAA